AUACUUACCUGGCAGGGGAGAUAACAUGAUCGUGAAGGGGGUUUUCUCAGGGCAAAGCUUAUCCAUUGUACUCCAUAUGUGCUGACUCCUGUCAUUUUCCGAAAUGCUGGAAAUUCGACUGCAUAAUUUGUGAUGGUGGUGAAAUA
Small nuclear RNA from Dasypus novemcinctus (nine-banded armadillo), 146 nucleotides. Its record names the gene U1. It matches the Rfam family "U1 spliceosomal RNA". Rfam says of the family: U1 is a small nuclear RNA (snRNA) component of the spliceosome (involved in pre-mRNA splicing). Its 5' end forms complementary base pairs with the 5' splice junction, thus defining the 5' donor site of an intron. Lineage: Eukaryota; Metazoa; Chordata; Mammalia; Cingulata; Dasypodidae. The record is from Ensembl.